This 378-nucleotide unclassified non-coding RNA is filed under the name plant metagenome. RNAcentral describes it as "partial contains 5.8S ribosomal RNA, internal transcribed spacer 2, and large subunit ribosomal RNA". The stretch from base 1 to 105 matches the Rfam family "5.8S ribosomal RNA", at positions 50 to 154 of the family's 154-position model. The record is from RNAcentral.
GAAAUGUGAUAAGUAAUGUGAAUUGCAGAAUUCAGUGAAUCAUCGAAUCUUUGAACGCACCUUGCGCUCCUUGGUAUUCCUUGGAGCAUGCCUGUUUGAGUAUCAUGAAAUCUUCAAAGUAAAUCUUUUGUUAACUCAAUUGGCUUCUACUUUGGUAUUGGAGGUCUUUGCAGCUUCACACCUGCUCCUCUUUGUUCAUUAGCUGGAUCUCAGUGUUAUGCUUGGUUCCACUCGGCGUGAUAAGUUAUCUAUCGCUGAGGACACUGUAAAAGGUGGCCAAGGUAAAUGCAGAUGAACCGCUUCUAAUAGUCCAUUGACUUGGACAAUACUUUUAUGAUCUGAUCUCAAAUCAGGUAGGACUACCCGCUGAACUUAAGC